This 5860-nucleotide long non-coding RNA is filed under the name Phoenix dactylifera (date palm). Its description in RNAcentral is "long non-coding RNA (PDAC_LNC001699)". The record is from RNAcentral. Lineage: Eukaryota; Viridiplantae; Streptophyta; Magnoliopsida; Arecales; Arecaceae.
CUCAAUCAAAUGGAGUUGCUGAAAGAAAAAAUAGAACUUUUCUUGACAUGAUUAACUCAAUGCUUACUAGUUCUGGUCUUUCCAACAAUUUGUGGGGUGAAGCUCUAAUUUCAGCAUGUAAAAUACUUAAUCGUAUACCAUUUAAAGAUAACGAGAAAACACCAUAUGAGUUAUGGUGGGGUAGAAAAUCUAGUCUAAAAUAUUUUAAAGUUUGGGGUUGCCUUGCAAAAGUUAAAAUUAACUCUAGCAAGAUGACUAAACUGUCUUCUAAGACUUUCGAUGCAGCUUUCAUAGGAUACGCGGAAAAUAGUAACGCAUACCGAUUCUUAAUAGUACGAUCAGAUGUACCUGACAUUACACCGAACACUAUUAAAGAAUCGAAUGAUGCAGUAUUUUUUAANNNNNNNNNNNNNNNNNNNNNNNNNNNNNNNNNNNNNNNNCGAGAAUCCUCUAAAUCACAAAAUGAUAACACUGAAAUAGAACCCCAAGUUGAACUUAGAAGGAGCAAGAGACCUAGAAUAGAGAAAAACCUAGGAGAUGACUUCUACACAUUCCUUGUUGAAGAUAAACCUUUGACUUAUGCUGAAGCAAUGAAAUCUAGUGAUGCACCUCUAUGGGAGGAAGCCAUUAAAAGUGAGAUGGAAUCAAUCCUUUCACACAAUACAUGGGUGUUAACCGACUUACCUCCAGGGUCUAGACCACUAGGGUGCAAAUGGGUCUUUAAAAGGAAACAAAAUCCUGAUGGAUCCAUUGAAAAAUACAAAGCUAGAUUAGUUGCUAAAGGUUUUAGUCAAAGAGAAGGAAUGGACUAUUUUGACACUUAUUCUCCAGUCACUAGGAUAACUACAAUUCGAGUGCUUAUAGCAUUGGCAGCAUCAUAUAAACUUGAAAUCCAUCAGAUGGAUGUAAAAACUGCCUUUCUUAAUGGCGAGUUAGAUGAAGAAAUUUAUAUGGAGCAGCCAGAAGGUUUUGUAGUUUCUGGUCAAGAGAAUAAAGUGUGUAAGCUAGUCAAAUCCUUAUAUGGAUUAAAACAAGCUCCUAGACAGUGGCAUGAAAAGUUUGACCAAGUCAUUUUAUCAUAUGGCUUUAAUAUUUGUGACUUCGAUAAAUGUGUAUAUUGGAAAAUAUUUGAUAGGUCUAUUAUUAUCCUAUGUUUAUACGUAGAUGACAUUUUAAUUUUUGGUAGUGAACAUGUCACAAUUUUUGAAGUAAAGAAAUACUUAAGUGAUAAUUUUGACAUGAAAGAUCUAGGGUUAGCUAAAGUAAUCUUAGGAAUCAAAAUUAGAAGGACACAAAAUGAGAUUGUUCUAAGUCAAUCUCACUAUGUUGAAAAAGUGUUAAAAAAAUUUGGGUACGAAAAUUACAAGCCAGUUAGCACCCCAUAUGAUCCUAGCAUAAAAUUAAAGAAAAAUAGUGGGGAUAGUGUUUCCCAAUUAAGGUAUUCUCAAUUAAUUGGAAGUCUUAUGUAUUUAUCUAACUGUACAAGACCAGAUAUCUCCUAUGCUGUAGGAAGACUAAGUAGAUACACUAGUAAUCUCGAUAAAACACAUUGGAAUGCAAUAGAAAGGCUUCUUAAAUAUUUGAAGGGUACCAUUAACUACGGGAUAUACUAUUCUGGUUUUCCUACUGUACUAGAAGGGUAUAGUGAUGCUAACUGGAUUUCUGAUUCCGAAGACACAAAGGCCACUAGUGGAUUUGUCUUUACACUAGGUGGUGGUGCAGUCGCUUGGAAAUCUUCCAAGCAGACCUUGAUUACUAGAUCCACCAUGGAGGCUGAGAUGGUAGCCUUAGAGUUAGCUGGUGGAGAAGCAGAUUGGCUUAGGGGUCUGUUAUCAGAUAUCCCCAUGAUGGAUAAGCCUAUUCCUGCUAUUCUAAUUAACUGUGAUAAUCAGGCGACUAUAGCAAAAGUGAAAAGUAAAAAUCACAACUCGAAGUCGUCUAGGCAUAUUGAGCUUCGAUAUAAAAUUUUAAGGAAGCUCACCUCUACUGGAGUUAUAACUUUAAGUUAUAUUAAAUCAGUGGAGAACUUGGCAGAUCAUCUGACCAAGGGCUUGUCGAGAGGACAAGUUCAAUAUGCUUCGAGGGGGAUGGGUUUAAAGCCUAUUUUUGAGUCACCGUCAGCGGCAACCCAACCUAUCUGACUGGAGAUCCCAAGAUGUAGGUUCAAUGGGACAAACAAGCUGACUGAGUGGUUGGUAGGAGCACCAGAUUUAAAGUGAACUCAGUUCACUACCCAUCUCUAUGGAGCAGGUGCUCAACUGCACUAGACAGGAGGAUGGCGUAAUGCCUUAAUGAUAUCAAGGCUAUUAUAGCAAGGUAUAGAGUUGCAGUAUACCCUUGGAGAUAUCACCGAUGUGAGUGUGACUGUGGGGCCGCAGUCAAAUAGAGAAUUAAGGCUUGUUCUCUAAGAGACACUCUCAAAACAAGAUACCUGUGCACGGCCGUAAUGCGCUACCCCGAUGGAACUCACAUGCAGGGUCAACUCUUAGUUGUUCAGUAUUUUAAAAUCUAUAUAUAAAGUCCAAGUUCAAGACUUUGUUCACUUCGGACCGGUGUGGAUGGCAAAAUACCAACUAGAUGAAGGUUCAAGUCCGAAAGACACCUUUCAUCGAAAGCUAAGUGUACUGAAUGCUCGUACUUUGAAUUUUUCAAAAUUUUGACAUUUUCAAAAUUAUCUCAAAAUUUUUUUUUUCCGAAAUUUCAAAAUGGUGGGGAAUGUAAGAGGUUUUGAAUUUGAAAUUUGAAACGGUUGUGAACCGUUUCUCCCCAUUUAAACUCAUUUAAAGCCAUCCUAAAUGCAAUACAAACGUUGGGCUCCAACGUUGAUCCAGAUGGGAGAGAGAGGAGAGCUCUCUCACACUCAUUAAUUCCUUCUCUUCACAUCCGUUAGAGGGCUUUUUUCCUUCUACGGUUUUCCUUGCUUUUUCUGAUUUUUUUUUGGCUUUCAAGUGGUGAGGGGAGAAGACAAGAGGGGUUAUCUUGUGGUUGGCCUCCUCUUCGCCGAUCACUCUUCAUCUUUUGGCUUUGAAUCAGUUUUGUACGAGCAUACAGAAAAAUCCCUGCGGAGUUCAAGAGAUUUUGUAGUACUGUGCACGUCUACAAAAUCAACGGUCCGUUGUAUCUUGGGAAGGGAUCGCCAGAAUCCGGUGCAUAUAAGGAGGCGAAUCUCUUUCAAAGACAGUGACUACACGCCUCGGACCGAUCUACAGGUAUUAUCUAUUUUAUUUUGGAUCUAAAGAAAACGACAUCAAAGAGGUACGCAUUGGAAUCAGUUGUUUCAGNNNNNNNNNNNNNNNNNNNNNNNNNNNNNNNNNNNNNNNNNGAUUACUACAACAUUUUUGAAAGAGAUUUGUUUCCGAAACACAAAGAUGGACAAAGUUAAGAACUCAUUAAACGAUAUCCUGAAACCCGAGUCAUUCGAUGGAAAGAAUUUUGUUAGAUGGCAAACAAAGAUGGAGUCUUGGUUGGACACAUUAGAUUUAUUUUAUGUGGUUUCAAACAAUCCUUCAACUAAGGACCCAAUGGAUCAUGAACCCGGCAGAUCAGCUGCUAAAUACAAAUUUGAUAAAGAUGAUCGUUUGUGUAAGAGUUUGAUACUUAGUUCACUAAAUGAUAACUUGUACGACAUCUACUCUAGAGCUGAGGGUACAGCUAAAACAUUGUGGGAUGAACUUGAGUCAAAUAUGGUAAAGAAACUGAAUCAGAAGAAAAGUUCAUCAUAGGAGAAUAUUUUUCUUACAAAAUGGUAGAUCAAAAAUCAGUAAUUGAUCAAGCACAUGAAGUCCAGAAUAUAGUGGCGAAGAUCAUCGCAAUGGGAAUUUCUAUAGAUGAGAGAAUUCAGGCGGCAACCCUUAUAGAAAAGCUUCCAUCUUCCUGGACAAAUUUUAAAGUCUCUUUGAAGCAUAAGAGACACACCCUCUCUUUGGAUCAAGUACUUGUGUCCCUUCAAAUAGAAGAAAAAUACAGGAAUAACCAUAAACAGGAUUUGGGUAUUGACUCAGAAGUUAAUGCAAAGGCAAACUUAGUAGAAACGAAGAAAACUAACUUCUGGAGAAAUAAACCCAAGAAACACUUUGAGAAGCCAAAACCAAAGAUUAAAAAGGAACAGAGCAAGAGAACAUGUUAUGUCUGUGGAAAACCAGGACACUUUGCCAAAUAGUGUAGACAUAGAAAGGACAAAGUCAAGAGGCAAAUAUGAUAACAGGUUCUGGUUCUACUGGAAUCGAGGACAGGUUAGUAAUCUCAAAACUUGAGUUAAAUCUGGCCUACAAUCCAACUGAAUGGUGGAUUGAUACAGGAGCUACUGUCCAUAUAUGUUCUGAUAUUUCCUCUUUUUCUUUCUACCAGGAGGUUAAAGGGAGAACUGUGACCAUGGGCAACUCCAGUGUUGCACAAGUGAUUGGAGAAGGAGAAGUAAAAUUGAAGUUCACAUCUGGAAAAAUUAUUACUCUCCACAACGUGCAACAUGUGCCAGAUGUUCGCAAGAAUCUUGUUAGUGGUUUUCUUUUGAGUCAAUUAGGCUUUAAAUUAGUGUUUGAAUCAAAUAAGGUUGUAAUUACCAAAGGUGGGACAUUUGUAGGGAGGGGUUAUGUUGCUGAUGGGUUAUUUAAAUUGAGUGUAUUACCAUGCUACAAUAUGAAUAAAAAUAUUUCUUCUCCACUUGUUAUGCAUAUCGACUCUUUAGAGAUGUGGCAUGGUAGACUUGGACACGUAAANNNNNNNNNNNNNNNNNNNNNNNNNAAUUUAGAUUUAAUUCCUAAAUAUAAUUUAGAGAAGAACAAAAAAUGUGAAAUUUGUGUUCAAGCUAAACAACCUAGGAAACCAUUUAAAUCAACAAGUAGAAGUUCUAACCUACUGGAUUUAAUACAUAGUGACAUUUGCGAAAUGAGCGGUAUUUUGACGAGAGGAGGAAAAAGAUACUUUAUUACCUUUAUAGAUGACAUGUCAAAAUACUGCUAUGUAUAUUUAAUAAAAACUAAGGAUGAAGCCUUAGAAAAAUUUAAAAUUUAUAAAUCAGAGGUUGAAAAUCAAACCCAGAAAACAAUAAAAAGACUCAGGUCAGAUAGAGGAGGAGAAUAUAGUUCAACAGAAUUUGGAAAAUUCUGUGAGGAACAUGGGAUUAUACAUGAGACUACUGCCCCUUAUUCUCCUCAGUCAAAUGGAGUUGCUGAAAGAAAAAAUAGAACUUUUCUUGACAUGAUUAACUCAAUGCUUAUAGUUCUGGUCUUUCCAACAAUUUACGGGGUGAAGCUCUAAUUUCAGCAUGUAAAAUACUUAAUCGUAUACCAUUUAAAGAUAACUAGAAAACACCAUAUGAAUUAUGGUGGGGUAGAAAACCUAGUCUAAAAUAUUUUAAAGUUUGGGUUGCCUUGCAAAAGUUAAAAUUAACUCUAGCAAGAUGACUAAACUGUCUUCUAAGACUUUCGAUGCAGCUUUCAUAGGAUAUGCGGAAAAUAGUAACGCAUACCGAUUCUUAGUAGUACGAUCAGAUGUACCUGACAUUACACCGAACACUAUUAAAGAAUCAAAUGAUGCAGUAUUUUUUGAGAAUGUGUUUCCUAUGAAAGAAAAGAGAAAGUUAGAAAUAGGAGAAUCCUCUAAAUCACAAAAUGAUAACACUGAAAUAGAACCCCAAGUUGAACUUAGAAGGAGCAAGAGGCCUAGAAUAGAGAAAAACCUAAGAGAUGACUUCUACACAUUCCUUGUUGAAGAUGAACCCUUGACUUAUGCUGAAGCAAUGAAAUCUAGUGAUGCACCUCUAUGGGAGGAAGCCAUUAAAAGUGAGAUGGAAUCAAUCCUUUCACACAAUACAUGGGUGUUAACCGACUUACCUCCAGGGUCUAGACCACUAGGAUGCAAA